Molecule: long non-coding RNA, 138 nt
Organism: Ipomoea nil (Japanese morning glory)
Lineage: Eukaryota; Viridiplantae; Streptophyta; Magnoliopsida; Solanales; Convolvulaceae
Exons: 3
Source: RefSeq, a predicted model, not a curated record
GCGUGUUUGGAGAGUCAUGAGAGGUCAAGAAAGUGAAAAAGAGCGAGUGGAAGUAUCAUGACAUGACUCGGGGAACCAAAGGAACAAAAGAGAUGAAGAAAUAUGCAUUUUUAAGUGAAGAACAUGGUUGGCAUUACG